RNAcentral lists this ribosomal RNA (324 nucleotides) under uncultured Microgenomates group bacterium. RNAcentral's name for it is "bacterial SSU rRNA". It matches the Rfam family "Bacterial small subunit ribosomal RNA", at positions 28 to 351 of the family's 1533-position model. The record is from RNAcentral.
GAUGAAUGUUGGCGGUGUGCCUGAGAUAUGCAAGUCGAACGUCUUUUCUCCGCAAGGGGAAAGGUAGUGGCGGACGGCUGAGUAACACAUAGGGACUUACCCCUUUUUGAAGGAUAGCCCAUCGAAAGGUGGGAUAAUACUUCAUGGUAUGGAUACCGUAAGGUAUUUGUUAAAGAGAUUAACUUCUCGAAAAGGGAUGGACCUGUGGCUUAUCAGAUAGUUGGUGGGGUAACGGCCUACCAAGUCUACGACGAGUAGCUGGCCUGAGAAGGUGGUCAGCCAGAGGGGGGACUGAGACACGGCCCCCACUCCUACGGGUGGCAG